GCUUUUUAAGUAUAAAAAAGUACACAAAAUUGCAAAUUUUUAGGUUAAAAGGUC
Molecule: transfer RNA, 54 nt
Filed under: Tigriopus californicus
Lineage: Eukaryota; Metazoa; Arthropoda; Copepoda; Harpacticoida; Harpacticidae
Description: tRNA-Cys
Source: RNAcentral